This 484-nucleotide ribosomal RNA is filed under the name uncultured bacterium. RNAcentral describes it as "partial 16S ribosomal RNA". It matches the Rfam family "Bacterial small subunit ribosomal RNA", at positions 30 to 507 of the family's 1533-position model. The record is from RNAcentral.
AUUGAACGCUGGCGGCAGGCCUAACACAUGCAAGUCGAGCGGAUGAAGGGAGCUUGCUCCUGGAUUCAGCGGCGGACGGGUGAGUAAUGCCUAGGAAUCUGCCUGGUAGUGGGGGAUAACGUCCGGAAACGGGCGCUAAUACCGCAUACGUCCUGAGGGAGAAAGUGGGGGAUCUUCGGACCUCACGCUAUCAGAUGAGCCUAGGUCGGAUUAGCUAGUUGGUGGGGUAAAGGCCUACCAAGGCGACGAUCCGUAACUGGUCUGAGAGGAUGAUCAGUCACACUGGGACUGGAACACGGUCCAGACUCCUACGGGAGGCAGCAGUGGGGAAUAUUGGACGAUAGGCGAAAGCCUGAUCCAGCCAUGCCGCGUGUGUGAAGAAGGUCUUCGGAUUGUAAAGCACUUUAAGUUGGGAGGAAGGGCAGUAAGUUAAUACCUUGCUGUUUUGACGUUACCAACAGAAUAAGCACCGGCUAACUUCGUG